GGGAACUGGAGUGCACAGGCGCUAGAACUAGCCAGCUGCUUCAGUGCCAGAAGGGGCAGACUCCACUCACUCUGUCCCACUGUGUCCCACCCCUUGCAGGAAGGUGAGUACAGCUGCCCACAGCCACUAAAAAAUGGCUGACCAAAAAACAAGAGGAAUAACUGGGAAUGAGAUAUCCAUAAGAGGCAUUGAAAAGCUCUGACAUAUUCCUGGGAAUCCAGAAGACCAAUAUACAAGCAGGGCUUGUGCAUGUGCCCAGAAAAGACCUCAGAAGGCCCUUAUCUCUUAACUCUGGAUGACUUUGAGGCUCUGUGCAGGCAGGAAGUGUGAAGGUAAGGCAGAAUUGUAAACUGCCUGCUGGAGCACUGAAGGUAUAUCCCAGCACACACACAGAGCCCCCUCACAAAUGCUGGGAGACUUAUUGGCUCAAGGUGUCUAAGAAAAUCUAUGCCCAAUCAUUAGAUGACCAUUAAAGUAACUGAACAGAGACUUCAGUAGUGGCAAACAAUAAAAAAUAAAGACUUUACAGAAUUGUCAAGGAAGUCAUUGAACAACAACAACAAAAAGCAGCAGCAGCAACAGCAACAAAUGUUGUGAAGGGAGAUGGGGAGAAGGUCUGCUUUCUGGAGUUACCACAUUCUAUUAUUUUAAAUGACCACCUUUCAACAAAAGAUUACAAGACGUGCAGAGAAACAGGAAAGUAUGGCCUAUAAACAGGUGAAAAAAAAGCAGCUAAUAGAAACCAUCCCUAGAGAAGCCUAGACAUUGGAUUUGCUAAAGAAAGAUUUUCAAUAAGCUUUUGUAAAUAUGUUCAAUG
Molecule: long non-coding RNA, 817 nt
Filed under: Homo sapiens (human)
Lineage: Eukaryota; Metazoa; Chordata; Mammalia; Primates; Hominidae
Description: PREDICTED lncRNA (TCONS_00057313)
Source: RNAcentral